CAGAACAUGAUGAUUCCAGAGAACGGUUUCACUUUUCUCCACUGAUGUCACCUGAUGUCACACUUCUCUUGGCUGUCUGAUCUG
Small nucleolar RNA from Alosa alosa (allis shad), 84 nucleotides. RefSeq annotates it as small nucleolar RNA SNORD53/SNORD92. The record is from RefSeq and is a predicted model, not a curated record. Lineage: Eukaryota; Metazoa; Chordata; Actinopteri; Clupeiformes; Clupeidae. The transcript has a single exon.